Molecule: ribosomal RNA, 240 nt
Filed under: uncultured bacterium
Lineage: Bacteria
Description: partial 16S ribosomal RNA
Rfam family: Bacterial small subunit ribosomal RNA
Source: RNAcentral
UACGUAGGGUGCAAGCGUUGUCCGGAAUUAUUGGGCGUAAAGAGCUUGUAGGCGGUUUGUCGCGUCUGCUGUGAAAUUUCGGGGCUCAACCCCGAACUUGCAGUGGGGUACGGGCAGACUAGAGUGUGGUAGGGGGAGAUGGAAUUCCUGGUGUAGCGGUGGAAUGCGCAGAUAUCAGGGAGGAACACCACGGCGAAGGCAGCUCGUGGGGACGGUAACUGGACGCUGAGGGCGCGAAAA